GGGGUUGUGGCUCAGUGAUAGAGCACUUGCCUAGCACAUGCAAGGCCCUGGGUUCGAUCCUCAGCACCACA
This 71-nucleotide transfer RNA is filed under the name Marmota monax (woodchuck). Its description in RNAcentral is "tRNA.Ala". Lineage: Eukaryota; Metazoa; Chordata; Mammalia; Rodentia; Sciuridae. The record is from RNAcentral.